GCCAGUGAUGCCCGGCGAGGAGUAUGUAGACAAGGCCGUGGAGGUUUUCCGCGUUCCUGGCCAUCACUUCUGCCUCCGACUCCACUAUGGCGCGAAUGGAUCCAGCGCCUGUUUGUCGCUCGUCCAGUGCUCCGGCUGUCGUGGAAAAACAGUGAUGCUCCGGCUGCGUGCCCAGGUACUCUGCGUCGGAUGAGUGCGCGGAGAGGAUCUCAGUGGUUGUCAUCAGCUUCGGCUUUGGCGGAGAAGGAUGAGAGGUAGAAUUUCUCCCCAUUUAUUUGCAGCUGUUUAUGUUCUUCUGUGUCUUCGUCAGGAUUGAGCUUGUGAGCGAUGGUCGGCCUGUUCACUGGGAAUCUAGCGUAUGCGCACUAGCCAAAGUUACGGUGGUACGAUGGGAUCCAAAUCAUGGUGGUGAGGGCCUCGAUCAAGUUUGCUUUUGUUUUCAUGUCUGUCCAUCCAGCUUUCUUGUCUGCGUGACCAACAUUCGCGAUUUCUUGCCACCAUGCCUGGAGUUCAGUGCCAUCCCGGACUGAAGCAUCGUUCUUGUAGAAAAUGUCUGCGUAGUCUGUCACCCAUUGCUUCAAUGCACUCCAGAUGUUCAGUCCGCCCACUGCAUAAGAGUUUCAAGCUAGAAAUCCCCUUUCCUUGCGAUCAAGUCAACUGGAAGUCCCUCUUGGUCGAAUCUCCACAGCGAUCCAUAGAUGACAGCACUAAGUUCUAUGGAGUACUUUCCCGUCGUGAUGAUUCCUGAUGCAUUGAUCAGCGCUUGGCGAGCCUUGAAAUUGGAAGUGCGGAAUCAGCAGGAGGUAGAUUGGAUGAAGAAUGCUCAGCUGCCUGUGCGUAGCAAUUUUAAACGGUUCCAUGACGGCAUGCAUCCUCAGCCUGGAUGAGAGCGAUCAGGUACGCAUUGCUAUAUAUUUUUUAUAUCAUUCUUGGAUUCCUCGGGUUUUUUUUAAUUGAUUUAAUGGUAGCACGUGGAGAACAAACACUUUGCGUCGGUACGAGCUUUGUCUUUCUUUCCUUUUUUAUUUCUUUCGUUUUCGGUUUUUGAGGAGUGGCUCCAAGCGAUUCCUGGUGACGAAGUUCCAGCGGUCCAGACUCCCAGUUCUAAACGAAACCUGAACACUGAUGUGUACAAUGGAAAAAUCCGAAUCAUGAAGGCCUUGUUGAUAAAAUACGGUGUUGUUAAAUUAUAUGGGCCGUAAAUUCUCACGGUAUAGCCAGUCUUAGCCAAUUUUCUUGACCCCGCCAUUGUUCUCAACCAUUCUUUCUU
RNAcentral lists this long non-coding RNA (1270 nucleotides) under Selaginella moellendorffii. RNAcentral's name for it is "long non-coding RNA (SMOE_LNC000562)". The record is from RNAcentral. Lineage: Eukaryota; Viridiplantae; Streptophyta; Lycopodiopsida; Selaginellales; Selaginellaceae.